AUCAGGCCAGAAUGAUGAAAACAUUUGUAUAUGUGCUACCCUUUUAUUUUCUUUGGCAUGCUCUAAAUAACCUCUGACCUUUUCUUUCCCCAUGUAAAGCUGCUCUUUGUUUGAAUGGAAACAGAAUGUGAAAAUGAUGACAAGAGAUUUUUGAAACAAACACAACAGCAAAAACCAAAAGCAAAUGAACUUUCACAGAAAUUUAGUACCCUAUCAAACUCUGAUACGUGGAUGAAAAGAUCAAGUUCCAGGAUUAGAAGAGAUUUUGUACAAAGGAAGGUGAGGACAGGAAAACUUACUGCUGAGCUCUUUUCAAUGGUUCAGCAAACUAAGUUUCCCUGCUGUUUCAAGACUACUGUGGCAUGCCCAGGUAUGGGAUGAAGGUACCAUGGAAACUCAUGGAAAGUGCAACAAGUUGGUUCAAGGCAAGAUGCUGAAGUUUAGAAUAUUGGCAUCUCCAAAACAGCCCUUUCCUUUGUCUGUCACAUUUGCUUUGGUGGUUGGGGUGGAUGCACUGCUCUAUCUUCGAGGUCAGCUCAUCUUACUCACUGGGGAACCUGUCUUUCCCUCUUGGUGCAAUCCUUUUUACAUGAACUUGAGUUCAGGGGGGGUAAGAAUGGCAAUUACCAGCAGACCAAGGGAGCUGCAGCAUUAAGACAAAGCAGUUUUCUCCAGAGCUGUUUGUGCCAAACACAUGUCAAGGACAGAAACAAUAUUCAUUCCAAUGCAAUCAGUGCAAACAGCUUUAGAAGAAGGAGAGUUUAAGUGUUCACAACUGGUUUGAGUUGCAGGACAACAUCCUACAGUAAGCAAGAGGUUGGUGGCAUUUUCCUGUGGUUAAAGCACACAGAAGCACCUUCUCCAGUGUUGAGCAUGGAGAAGGCCACACAAUCUCCCAUAUGAGGUGCAGGGUCCCCUUCUCCCUCCACCUGCACACACCCUCAAGUCUACCCAAAACCUUUGCUUUCUCAUUUCUCUCCUAGGAAGUUGCCCCUUACACCAAACAGCAAUUUUGAAGAGCACCUGAAUUAACAGGAUUGUUCCAGCUCCUAUUUCUCGUUCAAGUGUAAUGUGAGAUUAGCCAGACUCAUUAAAAUAUUAUCAGUUUCCUUGCUUUGUGAUACAGCUCCUUGCAGGCAAGCCUUGGGACACAUUAGGGUCCUUGUCAGGUGAUGGCUGGUGGGUUUCUGCAGUUGGUGAAUAUAAUCAGAUUUCAUUGAUGUCUGAAUCAUCAUAAAUUUUAACAGCCUUGAUGUUGUUUCAAACACCCUAUGUGCUAGUGCAGUCUGUCUACAGUUAAUAUCCCAACAUCAAGAGGUCAGAAUCACCUCAUCUCAGUUAUUCUGAUGUGUUUUUUUUUUUUUUUGUCUUUUUUUUUUUU
RNAcentral lists this long non-coding RNA (1381 nucleotides) under Anas platyrhynchos platyrhynchos (common mallard). Its description in RNAcentral is "lncRNA (ENSAPLG00000022411.1)". Lineage: Eukaryota; Metazoa; Chordata; Aves; Anseriformes; Anatidae. The record is from RNAcentral.